Molecule: ribosomal RNA, 497 nt
Filed under: uncultured bacterium
Lineage: Bacteria
Description: partial 16S ribosomal RNA
Rfam family: Bacterial small subunit ribosomal RNA
Source: RNAcentral
GAUGAACGCUGGCGGCGUGCCUAAUACAUGCAAGUCGAGCGAACAGACGAGGAGCUUGCUCCUCUGACGUUAGCGGCGGACGGGUGAGUAAAACGUGGAUAACCUACCUAUAAGACUGGGAUAACUUCGGGAAACCGGAGCUAAUACCGGAUAAUAUAUUGAACCGCAUGGUUCAAUAGUGAAAGACGGUUUUGCUGUCACUUAUAGAUGGAUCCGCGCCGCAUUAGCUAGUUGGUAAGGUAACGGCUUACCAAGGCAACGAUGCGUAGCCGACCUGAGAGGGUGGUCGGCCACACUGGAACUGAGACACGGUCCAGACUCCUGCGGGAGGCAGCAGUAGGGAAUCUUCCGCAAUGGACGAAAGCCUGACGGAGCAACGCCGCGUGAGUGAUGAAGGUCUUAGGAUCGUAAAACUCUGUUAUUAGGGAAGAACAAAUGUGUAAGUAACUAUGCACGUCUUGACGGUACCUAAUCAGAAAGCCACGGCUAACUACGUG